UAAGGAAUAUUGGUCAAUGGACGCAAGUCUGAACCAGCCAUGCCGCGUGAAGGAUUAAGGCCCUCUGGGUUGUAAACUUCUUUUAUCUGGGACGAAAAACGGGUAUUCUUACUCACUUGACGGUACCAGAGGAAUAAGCACCGGCUAACUCCGUGCCAGCAGCCGCGGUAAUACGGAGGGUGCAAGCGUUAUCCGGAUUUACUGGGUUUAAAGGGUGCGUAGGUGGGUCUGUAAGUCAGUGGUGAAAUCUCCGAGCUUAACUCGGAAACUGCCAUUGAUACUAUAGGUCUUGAAUUAUCUGGAGGUAAGCGGAAUAUGUCAUGUAGCGGUGAAAUGCUUAGAUAUGACAUAGAACACCAAUUGCGAAGGCAGCUUACUACGGAUUGAUUGACACUGAGGCACGAAAGCGUGGGGAUCAAACA
RNAcentral lists this ribosomal RNA (422 nucleotides) under uncultured Ferruginibacter sp. RNAcentral's name for it is "bacterial SSU rRNA". It matches the Rfam family "Bacterial small subunit ribosomal RNA", at positions 355 to 774 of the family's 1533-position model. Lineage: Bacteria; Pseudomonadati; Bacteroidota; Chitinophagia; Chitinophagales; Chitinophagaceae. The record is from RNAcentral.